RNAcentral lists this ribosomal RNA (517 nucleotides) under uncultured bacterium. RNAcentral's name for it is "bacterial SSU rRNA". It matches the Rfam family "Bacterial small subunit ribosomal RNA", at positions 1 to 520 of the family's 1533-position model. The record is from RNAcentral.
GGAUCCAGACUUUGAUCAUNGCUCAGGACGAACGCNGGCGGCGCGCCUAACACAUGCAAGUCGAGCGGGAAGCUUUUUAAGGAUUCUUCGGAUGAAUUAAAAAGUGGAGAGCGGCGGACGGGUGAGUAACGCGUGAGAAACCUGCCCUAUACAGGGGGAUAGCCAUUGGAAACGAUGAUUAAUACCCCAUAUGACCACAGUAUCGCAUGAUACAGCGGUGAAAACUCCGGUGGUAUAGGAUGGUCUCGCGUCUGAUUAGCUAGUUGGUGGGGUAACGGCCUACCAAGGCGACGAUCAGUAGCCGGCCUGAGAGGGUGACCGGCCACACUGGAACUGAGACACGGUCCAGACUCCUACGGGAGGCAGCAGUGGGGAAUAUUGCACAAUGGGCGAAAGCCUGAUGCAGCGACGCCGCGUGAACGAUGAAGGCUUUCGAGUCGUAAAGUUCUGUUCUUGGGGAAGAUAACGACGGUACCCAAGGAGAAAGCACCGGCUAAAUACGUGCCAGCAGCCGCGG